This 1431-nucleotide unclassified non-coding RNA is filed under the name Hevea brasiliensis (rubber tree). Lineage: Eukaryota; Viridiplantae; Streptophyta; Magnoliopsida; Malpighiales; Euphorbiaceae. The record is from RNAcentral.
UUUUUUUUUUUUUUUCUUUUUCCUACACAGAAACGUUCCACACUGCAUAUUACAUCAAGAAAUGGGUGAUUUGCAUGCUUUCGACAUUGACUUGUUGCAGACCCAAACCAAGCUUCCACUAACAAAAACUAGACAAAUCCCAGUACCCAAUAGUACAUGAUUAAAGGAUUUCCACCAACAAACUGGACAACUAAAAAGAAAACAUGAAAGAUACUCAAGAAGGAGAGUAUUAUGUUACUUUUGGCCCCACCGAACACUAAGAGUUUGAAGGAUUCAAUGUGUCAAUUUGUUCCUAGGCCUUGGUGUUACCCUUAUAGGCAAGCCCCUCUUGGGCACAGGGAAAGGACCAUAUUGUAUUCCAUCCUCGUCUUCCAUAGCUUUCCAUCUGCACCCAAAAACAUCAUAAAAUGAGUAAUAUACAUUUCAUUAUUUAAUUUGAGAUAUUGAGUGUUAAAUUGUUGAAUUAUUGUUAAUUUGAUGUGCUGAUUAACUCAAUGCGACAAGCAUAAUCCAAUUAAAUUACAUAUUCAAACAUUUCUGAACAUGAUCAUUAUAUAAAAACAAAAACCAUUGAAUCUAUUUGGACAUAUAUGUUUACAAUAAUACAAGUCACAUGAAUCACAUCUCUUCAGAGAGGCAUAGAAUGGUAUCUUGCUUUGAAAAUGAAAUUAAGACAAUAAAAUUAUAUAUAUAUAAAUAAAUAAAGAUGACAAAUCAAGAAAUGAUGUGGAGUCUAAUGUGCAGAACAAAGCUGUGGUGUAAAGUAAACGCAGAAUGGUGACACAUCAUCAUUACAUUUGUCACAUUAGCUUGAUUUGAAACAAUAUAGCUGGCAAACUGUGUCGUUUUACUGUAGAGUGUGAUUGUAUGCAUCUAUUGCCCACCUAAAAAUACAUUUCCAUGAGAUAUGCUUUAAAUUGGUUGAUAAAGAUCAGAUAUCCGAGGAAGGAAAUGAAAUUAUUUAUCCUUUUAAGCAUCAGUAUGAUGGGGACAUGGCUAUGGAAAUUUCAGAAAGAGCUAUACCUUAACCAAAUCAAAAUCUGAGGAUAGGGAUGUGUAAAAUCUACUUAGCAAUUGAUCAUGUCCUAGCUUGUUUCUUUAAAAAAAAAAAAAAGGUUUCCAUGUGUAACCAACCUAUCACUAUGAUUCAUUCUAUUGCUUUAGAGCAGGAAUAAGCAUUUGAAUUACUAACAGAUAACACCCAGAAAUCAAGCGGCCAAAUAUUAUACGAUCACCUCCUCUCCUAUGUAGAUCAUGGACCUACUUUGAAUGGGAUGUGUUGCAAAUUGUUGAACUAAUGUAUCAUGCAUGGAGAUACCUAGUUUUUCUAGCUACACCCUACACAUUUCUUUUUCAAAACCCUCAAAGAAAUAGCUUUUCAUUGAGACUAAGGAUCUUCCACAGCCCAAGGAACACCCAAGAAAGGACCAC